UAGAUUGAAGCCAGAGUUAGGGUAUUUAGCUGUUAACUAAAAUUUCGUAGGUUGUAGUCCUACCAGUCUAG
Molecule: transfer RNA, 71 nt
Filed under: Leggadina lakedownensis (Lakeland Downs mouse)
Lineage: Eukaryota; Metazoa; Chordata; Mammalia; Rodentia; Muridae
Description: tRNA-Asn
Rfam family: tRNA
About the family: Transfer RNA (tRNA) molecules are approximately 80 nucleotides in length. Their secondary structure includes four short double-helical elements and three loops (D, anti-codon, and T loops). Further hydrogen bonds mediate the characteristic L-shaped molecular structure. tRNAs have two regions of fundamental functional importance: the anti-codon, which is responsible for specific mRNA codon recognition, and the 3' end, to which the tRNAs corresponding amino acid is attached (by aminoacyl-tRNA synthetases). tRNAs cope with the degeneracy of the genetic code in two manners: having more than one tRNA (with a specific anti-codon) for a particular amino acid; and 'wobble' base-pairing, i.e. permitting non-standard base-pairing at the 3rd anti-codon position.
Source: RNAcentral